CACAAUAUAGAAUAUUCAUGGCUUUUGCAUUUUGCUGAGCCAUUUUCUUAUCAUGAUUAGUGUUUGUGUGUAGCCCAUUGGCUAUGAUAAUCUAUAAAUCGUAGUCAUGUGCUUGAAUGAAAAUGCGCAUGCGUGCUUUCCAAUGUGUGUAGUUUAUACCAUUAAAUAGUGGAGGUCUAUCAAUUAAUUGUCCCUCUCCUAAAAAACUAUCUAUUUGAGUUGUCAUGAUCUUUGGCUCUUUGACGGUUAGGUCAAAGUCAUAAGGCAAGAAAUUA
RNAcentral lists this long non-coding RNA (275 nucleotides) under Phoenix dactylifera (date palm). Its description in RNAcentral is "long non-coding RNA (PDAC_LNC002842)". Lineage: Eukaryota; Viridiplantae; Streptophyta; Magnoliopsida; Arecales; Arecaceae. The record is from RNAcentral.